Lycium barbarum (goji berry) is the source of this 690-nucleotide long non-coding RNA. RefSeq lists it as uncharacterized. The transcript is spliced from 2 exons. The record is from RefSeq and is a predicted model, not a curated record. Lineage: Eukaryota; Viridiplantae; Streptophyta; Magnoliopsida; Solanales; Solanaceae.
AGAAGUUUUAACACUUUAUGCCCAAGUCCCAUGUAAAAAAAGGUGUCGUGUCUGUAUUUGAAAGAACAAGUGCAGAUUUCCAAAAUCUUCUUAGUAAGUGACUAAAGGGUUGUUUAAAAUAGUUUACCACUACCACUGCACAAACAGACGCACACACCCAACUCCCAGGCCCCAGACCCUCCUAAUUCUCUCGCCACUCCUUGCACAACUCACCAUUGCAGGCCACAAACAACAAGGUUUUAUAUGAUUGAGAAGUGAUCGGAAAGAAACCAAGUGAAAAACAAGUCAAAAGAGGCCAAAUUGAAGAAAACCAAAAAAGUGGCUAAAAAUGCAAAAAUGGGCCAGAUCUGCAAAUCUGAAAAUAUAGGGCUGUUUUGGUCAUUUUUGAUUGGGAAAAUUUGAGAACUACAAAAGCAAGAUAUGAGAAACAUUUUCAUCAUCUUUGGCCAUUCAAACAAGUCUUGAAAAGCUAGGGUUCUUACACCCACACUAGGGGAUUGAAGAUUUGAAGACUUUGAUGAGAAAUUUCUUAAUCUUUUACUCAUUUCUUCAAUACCUUGCUAUGUAUUGACUAUUUAAGUGUAGUAGUUCAUUCUAAUGCUUCAAACUUGUUUAUGAAAAAUAUAUGUUGUUAAAGUUUUGGAUUGAAACUCUUGUUAUGCUUAUGUAUUGAAUGAUGUUUAUCUCUAA